Molecule: ribosomal RNA, 587 nt
Filed under: Facetotecta sp.
Lineage: Eukaryota; Metazoa; Arthropoda; Thecostraca
Description: partial large subunit ribosomal RNA
Rfam family: Eukaryotic large subunit ribosomal RNA
Source: RNAcentral
ACGCACAAUGAAAGUGAAGGCCUGGAUUGCCAGGCCAAGGGGCGAUCUUGCCCUCCAAGGGGGGCAGGCGCAGCCCCGGGACGCGCCGUUCGCAUUGCCGUCGGCUCGUACCCAGAGCGUACACGUUGGGACCCGAAAGAUGGUGAACUAUGCCUGGCCAGGACGAAGUCAGAGGAAACUCUGAUGGAGGUCCGUAGCGAUUUUGACGUGCAAAUCAAUCGUCCGAGCUGGGUAUAGGGGCGAAAGACUAAUCGAACCAUCUAGUAGCUGGAUCCAUCCGAAGUUUCCCUCAGGAUAGCUGGCGCUCGCANGACCGAGUUUCAUCCGGUAAAGCGAAUGAUUAGAGGCCUUGGGGCCGAAACGANCUCAACCUAUUCUCAAACUUUAAAUGGGUGAGAAGUCGGGCUUGCUCGACUGAAGCACCGACCNUNGAAUCNAGAGUGCCAAGUGGGCCACUUUUGGUAAGCAGAACUGGCGCUGUGGGAUGAACCAAACGCAGAGUUAAGGUGCCCGAGAGAACGCUCAUCAGAUCCCAUGAAAGGUGUUGGUUGCUAUAGACAGCAGGACGGUGGCCAUGGAAGUCGGAA